GGCAGCGUAGCUCAGAGGAAGAGCAGGGGACUCAUAAGCCCUUGGUCGCUGGUUCAAUUCCAGCCGCUGCCA
This 72-nucleotide transfer RNA is filed under the name Dehalococcoidia bacterium. RNAcentral's name for it is "tRNA-Met". It matches the Rfam family "tRNA". From Rfam's summary of the family: Transfer RNA (tRNA) molecules are approximately 80 nucleotides in length. Their secondary structure includes four short double-helical elements and three loops (D, anti-codon, and T loops). Lineage: Bacteria; Bacillati; Chloroflexota; Dehalococcoidia. The record is from RNAcentral.